AUCUCUUAGGAGACAUCUGAUAAAAUUGGAAUGAUACAGAGAAGAUUAGCAUAACCCCCUACACAAGGAUGACACGUACAAAUUGAGAAGUGGUUCAAAUUUUU
Molecule: small nuclear RNA, 104 nt
Filed under: Setaria italica (foxtail millet)
Lineage: Eukaryota; Viridiplantae; Streptophyta; Magnoliopsida; Poales; Poaceae
Source: RNAcentral